GAUGAACGCUGGCGGCGUGCCUAAUACAUGCAAGUCGAGCGAACAGACGAGGAGCUUGCUCCCCUGACGUUAGCGGCGGACGGGUGAGUAACACGUGGAUAACCUACUUCUUAUACUGGGAUAACAUCGGGAAGCCGGUGACAAUACCGCAUAAUAUAUUGAACGGCAUGGUUCAAUAGUGAAUGACGGUUUUGCUGUUACUUAUAGACGGAUCCGCGCCGCAUUAGCUAGUUGGUAAGGUAACGGCUUACCAAGGCAACGAUGCGUAGCCGACCUGAGAGGGUGAUCGGCCACACUGGAACUGAGACACGGUCCAGACUCCUACGGGAGGCAGCAGUGGGGAAUCUUCCGCAAUGGGCGAAAGCCUGACGGAGCAACGCCGCGUGAGUGAAGAAGGUCUUCGGAUCGUAAAGCUCUGUUAUUAGGGAAGAAAAAAUGUGUAAGUAACUAUGCACGUCUUGACGGUACCUAAUCAGAAAGCCACGGCUAACUACGUG
RNAcentral lists this ribosomal RNA (497 nucleotides) under uncultured bacterium. RNAcentral describes it as "partial 16S ribosomal RNA". It matches the Rfam family "Bacterial small subunit ribosomal RNA", at positions 28 to 507 of the family's 1533-position model. The record is from RNAcentral.